AAAUGGUCGUACUCCGCUUGCAAAUGAGAUAUAUGAGCAAAUGGUUGCAGAGAAGGAAAGAGAGCUAGAAGAAGGAGAAGCACAAAAGUCACCCUCCAAGAUUGUUGCUGAUAGUCUCAGCCAGAUCAGCCGCUCAUCCACCUUCCUUCCAAACAUUGGUGUCCCUACAACGUCCAAGACUGGUCGGUCCACAUCGCUAGCUGCACAAGCAUGCAUGCAAGCUCAGUUUGAGGAAAAAUUCCAAGCUGAAAGAGAGGAAGCUGCUAGGAAGCAGGAAGAGUUGCAAGCACAACUACAAGCUCAACAGGCCGCACUUGAAGAAAACCAAUGUUUGCUGCGCCAGACCCAAGAGGAAGUGAAGGGGAUGCAUACCAAGUUUGAAGAGACCAAUGCACUGCUACGAGCUGUCCUGAAACUUCAGAAAGAUUGAGGUAGGGAUGCAUACCAAGUCUGAGGCGAC
RNAcentral lists this unclassified non-coding RNA (460 nucleotides) under Zea mays. RNAcentral describes it as "misc RNA Zm00001eb056710". Lineage: Eukaryota; Viridiplantae; Streptophyta; Magnoliopsida; Poales; Poaceae. The record is from RNAcentral.